GGGCGGCUAGCUCAGCGGGAGAGCGCUUGCUUCACACGCAAGAGGUCGCUGGUUCGAAACCAGCGCCGCCCA
Molecule: transfer RNA, 72 nt
Filed under: Chloroflexota bacterium
Lineage: Bacteria; Bacillati; Chloroflexota
Also listed under: 3 other names
Description: Chloroflexi bacterium tRNA-Val
Rfam family: tRNA
About the family: Transfer RNA (tRNA) molecules are approximately 80 nucleotides in length. Their secondary structure includes four short double-helical elements and three loops (D, anti-codon, and T loops).
Source: RNAcentral